Molecule: long non-coding RNA, 491 nt
Organism: Colletes gigas
Lineage: Eukaryota; Metazoa; Arthropoda; Insecta; Hymenoptera; Colletidae
Exons: 2
Source: RefSeq, a predicted model, not a curated record
GCGACUCGAGAUCAGUCAGGUUCUGGAUCGUAGCUUGUUAGCAGAGGAAUAUCCAGGAUGAAGCGUUUGUUUCUGGUAAUCUUUCUACUGUCGAUGUUAGGGUAUUGUCUAUCGUCACACCUGCAGCCGAUGCCUAGUCUGUGCCAGCCUAACGUCCAAUCUUCGAUAAUAAAUACUCCGCUGAGACCGUGCCCUGAAGGCCAAAAACCAGAUUCUAACGAGAUUUGUAGAACUGUUAUCAGCUAAACGUGAUGCCUUGAUCAGGCGAUAAACAAAUCAACAAAACCUGGAAACCAUGGGACUCUGUGUUAAUAAUAAACAAAGAUAGAUAACAAAAAUAAAUGUUAACUCAAAUGAAUCUAAAAUCUAGAAAUUGGAAAUAAGAAAUUACUACUUUAAAUAACAUUUCAGCCUUUUAUUGCUCACCGCGUUAUCAAAGAUUUUUCUUUAUUUGAAAUAAUAAAUAAACUAUGCACGAUGUCACACACCAA